GAUGAACGCUGGCGGCGUGCCUAAUACAUGCAAGUCGAGCGAACAGAUGAUGAGCUUGCUCCUCUGACGUUAGCGGCGGACGGGUGAGUAACACGUGGAUAACCUACCUAUAAGACUGGGAUAACUUCGUGAAACCGGAGCUGAUACCGGAUAAUAUAUUGAACCGCAUGGUUCAAUAGUGAAAGACGGUUUUGCUGUCACUUAUAGAUGGAUCCGCGCUGCAUUAGCUAGUUGGUAAGGUAACGGCUUACCAAGGCAACGAUGCGUAGCCGACCUGAGAGGGUGAUCGGCCACACUGGAACUGAGACACGGUCCAGACUCCUACGGGAGGCAGCAGUAGGGAAUCUUCCGCAAUGGGCGAAAGCCUGACGGAGCAACGCCGCGUGAGUGAUGAAGGUCUUCGGAUCGUAAAACUCUGUUAUUAGGGAAGAACAACUGUGUAAGUAACUAUGCACGUCUUGACGGUACCCAAUCAGAAAGCAACGGCUAACUACGUG
RNAcentral lists this ribosomal RNA (497 nucleotides) under uncultured bacterium. Its description in RNAcentral is "partial 16S ribosomal RNA". It matches the Rfam family "Bacterial small subunit ribosomal RNA", at positions 28 to 507 of the family's 1533-position model. The record is from RNAcentral.